RNAcentral lists this ribosomal RNA (443 nucleotides) under uncultured bacterium. Its description in RNAcentral is "partial 16S ribosomal RNA". It matches the Rfam family "Bacterial small subunit ribosomal RNA", at positions 28 to 507 of the family's 1533-position model. The record is from RNAcentral.
GAUGAACGCUGGCGGCAUGCCUAACACAUGCAAGUCGAUCGGUAAGGCUCUUCGGAGUACACGAGAGGCGGAAGGCUGAGUAACGCGUAGGAACACACCCUGCAGUGAGGGAUAAGACACCGAAAGGUGUUCUAAUACCGCAUACGGUCUUCGGAUUAAAGCAUUUAUGCGCUGAAGGAGUGGCCUGCGUCAUAUUAGAUAGUUGGUGAGGUAAUGGCUCACCAAGUCGAUGAUGUGUAGCUGGUCUGAGAGGAUGAUCAGCCAGACUGGAACUGAGACACGGUCCAGACUCCUACGGGAGGCAGCAGUGAGGAAUAUUUCACAAUGAGCGAAAGCUUGAUGGAGCAAUGCCGCGUGCAGGAUGAAGGCCCUCGGGUUGUAAACUGCUUUUAUAAGAGAAGAUUAUGACGGUAACUUAUGAAUAAGGGACGGCUAACUACGUG